AUAUGAGACUGUGAUGAUGGGAGCCAAGGAUGAGGAAACUUUUUUACUGUUUGACAUCCCAGGUGGGACCCAAGCCCGCAAUCUUGGAUCCUUUAAUCUCCAAAGAUCCAUUACCAGCAAUGUGUGAGCUCCCCUGGGACCUUUGGCAUGGGAGACGGUGGCUGUUUAGGAAUGGAUUUCUCCAAUUUAGUGCUCCCAUGCUGCCCCUUGCUUCCUGCUCACCCUCCACCUGUGGGUGUCUGAAGAGGACAAUUGGAGGCAUGAAAGAUAAAGAUGGUGGAUUGAGACAAGAACAAUUUACUGAAAACAGCCAUGAGAUAAGAAAAUGAACAGUAACAGCAACAAUACUAAAGACAAAGGAUAUAAGAAACUACUCACGUGGAGAAAAAUCACCCAAUAGUAGACAAUACCCAACCACUUCCUCGACUGAAAGGGACCCCUUUCCCCCUUCUCCCAGAAGAGUCCCUUUCCCUGCUCCCAGCAAUUCCACGAUGUGGUGCAGAACAACCUUCCAAGCUACUGCAAAAAUUAACACUGUCCUGGUCAGAACCAGGACCCAGGCACCGAAGGAUGAAUGUUAAAAUUCCAUCAGGAGAUUUGGUGAAAAUACUGGAGUGAGUUUCUCUAUACUGGGGGCUGGGGGGGUUGAACCCCUCUCCUGCUGCUUCCCCAGGAUGAGCCUGAUCAUCACAAGGUACACACAGAAUAGGAUUUAAAUCCCUAGAAUGCCUCCUAGUUCCUGAAAAUGAUGGGAAAAUAGACCCAGCACUGAGAAAGGAAUGCCUUUAAUGGAGGGAGGUACUACAAAACUGGGAAGAGAACCUUUGGCACAGCAGGUCUAUCAAAAAAGCACACAGAUAUUUCAUAUGGAGGAGACUGGCCAUUUAUAACCAGAGAUGGAGCCCCAGCAGAGCAGUGGCCACCACAAGGGACCUUUGACAGCACAGACUCACAUUUCUGAGGCAGUGACUGGGUUCCCAGGACAAAGGGAUUGUUGGUCUCUGUGGAAUACCUGGCCAUGAGGCCACCAUAAAGAAUAUUGGUAGCAGGGACAGAAGAAAACCAGAGUUCCCAGAAAUGGGGAAUGACGCAACCAUGAGGAGCCUGAUCUACUCUAAUCAGCAAGGACGUGGUCAGCAGCCCCAUUCACCAAAAUCCGGGCACAGCUGGGGCACAGGCACAAGUUCCACUGGAUAUUCUGGGCACUGUCAGAUUCUGGGCUGCUGUUGGAGAUACUGGAAGGAAGGAAUGGUACAGGGGAGAAUGCCCCUACCUAUGAAGAUCUGAAGAAGAAAUAGGACAGCAGGAUCUCCUGAGUUCAUAGCAUGUAAUGGAUACCCACACCACAGCUCCCCAUUUUCCACUGCAAUACCUCUGGAGCCAGGAAAUCACCAGCAAUCCUCCCUCUGGCUGCAUUGCUGGACAGAUGCUGUGCUGCUUGUGGAGGGGUGAGGCCUGGCCCAUUAAUCUGUCCUCAGAGAGGCUGGCAGCUGGAUUAGUGCUUCAGAUGCUCUUAACAUCUGCAGCUGCAGGACAGCCCCAAAUUCCUCAGCUGGAAGCCGGAGGUAGCAGCAAGGCUGGGGUUUAUAAGCCCUUUAUUUGUGGGGACCAGCAGCGCAGGGGAUGAGAAGAGCCUCCUGAGCAGCCAUGGAGGGGUUACAGCUGCGGG
Long non-coding RNA from Passer domesticus (house sparrow), 1669 nucleotides. RefSeq lists it as uncharacterized. The transcript is spliced from 3 exons. The record is from RefSeq and is a predicted model, not a curated record. Lineage: Eukaryota; Metazoa; Chordata; Aves; Passeriformes; Passeridae.